This is a long non-coding RNA of Prinia subflava (tawny-flanked prinia), 5107 nucleotides long. RefSeq lists it as uncharacterized. The record is from RefSeq and is a predicted model, not a curated record. The transcript is spliced from 6 exons. Lineage: Eukaryota; Metazoa; Chordata; Aves; Passeriformes; Cisticolidae.
GCCCCGCCAGCUCCGGGCCGGUCCCCCCGGGGUUCGCUCCAGGGACCCCCGCCAGGCGCAGCGGAGAAUCCCGGGACAGCCGCGGGAAUGCCUGGGGCAGGGCAGCUGGAAAGGAGGCGCCGUAGGGAGCUGGUUCCUAGAUGUGAAAGGUUGAAUGCUUGGAGUCAGCCACAGAAAAUUCGCUGCUGUCACAUCGUCCCUCACCUUGGAGGCCAGCUCAGGAUUACAGUAAUUCCUGGUGCGCACCCUUGCCACCACAGGCACAUCUGGGCAUCAUCACUCCGGGCUCAAUCAGACCUUCUGAGCAUUCACCCUCCUGUCACAGAAGAAGCAAAGGAUGCAGUAAGGCUCUGAGGAGUGAUGCUUAAUGCCUGAGGGGAGUGAGGAGCAGUGGCAUCGCCAGGCGAGCUCUUCGUCACUCUAACUUAAGGUCAGGCCUGUGAGUGCUGCAGGAACCACGGCCCAUGCAGACAUGGAAUCAUGGAAUUGUUAAGGUUGGAAAAGCCCUCUAAGAUCACUGAGUCCAAGCAGUCCUCCAGCGCUGCCAAGGCCACCACUGAACAGUGUCCCCAGGUGCCACAUCUGCACAUCUUUUAAACCCCUCCAGGGAUGGGGACUCCACCACUGUCCAGCUCCAGGGCAGGAGCAGCCAAGCACCAUGUCUUCCCAUACAGCCCAGGUGAAUUAAACUGGUGGGGUUUGGCCAGCCUGGAACUGGAUCUCUGCAUCCAUGUGGGGAAGGAUGAAGGAGCCACCUCAAUUUUAAUGUAAUAAUGGGUUUCUCUGGGAGAAAAUCAGGAUGUCCUUCCUGGGCUGAAAUUUGGAUUUAUCAAGGCAACUCUCUGCCAUUCCCCCUUGGAGAAUGGGGAAAGGAGACAGCUAGGAGAACCCAGUCCCUUUCCAGGGGGUUGUGUGGGGAUGGAAGCAUCUGAAGAGCUGUAAAUCCUGCACCCAGUGAGAGCAGUUUAUGGGGCCACAUACCUCACAUGGACCUACCUGGAGCCCAGAGAUGGGGGACGGAGCCCGGUGCCACAGCGCGUGAGAGCCUCUCUGGGUGGUGGGCACACACUGUGGAGGGCAGGCUCUUAUUAAUUACUGCUAAUUGCUUAUUUCACAUAUUGUUCUUGAUGGGCUUUUGUUGCAAAGGGCUGCUGAUAUUUUAGGGAUAUGCAGGGUGAAUCUCUGUCCAUGCAGCCAAAUCCCUGGGCUAGGGUUCCAAAGCCACCGGUGCAGCCCUCGCCAAGUGUUUCCAAACUGAAUAGUCGUUGGGUUGGCAGAUAAUUCAGAAACUAUUUGUAUGAGCUGUUUAUCAAAUUAUUAACUGCACAGAUGUUGUUUGGUUGAAGAGCAGCUGAACCUUCUCUCUGCCAGCCGCAGAGACAAAGGUCUGCAGGAAUAAUUGGAGAUGUGCAUGGAAUAUUAAAUUAAUUUACUGCUCUUAAUUCUUAUGCAAAUCCUGACCUCUGAUAGAGCCUAUCAAUUACCCUGCACACAGGGAAAAGAAAGGAAAACAGUUCCUUUCUUUUCUUUCUCCCCCCUCUCCUUUUUUUCCUGUUGUUCUCCAUUUUGGAGUUUUGUUUCUUUGUUGUUUUGUUGGGGUUUUUUCUUUUUCCUUUUGAAAGGGAACUUGAGAAAGGAAAUAUUUGUGGGAGGAAAAAAAGCCAUUUAUUUGUGGGAGAAGCAAAGGGCCAGGAUUAUUUAAGUGAAUGUCCCUGUUGCAGCAAUGUCCCCUGGGAGACUGUGCAGUUUUUAACAUUGUGGGGUGCCCCAGGGGAGGCCUGGGAAUGGAGGCCAAAGCCAGGCUGGAAUAGCUCCACAUGCUUCCCCAGGAGGGGCCCCACUCCACCAGUAACCGUGGUGGGUUGCAGUGGGAGAGGACUGGAGGCCUGGGCUGAUCCCGGCCUGGUUUUGGAGGGGUUGGGGACAGGAAGGGGCCUCUAGCUCCACUGGGAUCCAGCUGGGGUUCAGGUGGGUUAUUGGGGAAGGCUUCCUGCCCUGGCAGUGGGGCUGAUUCUGCCAGUAAUUACCAGGGAAGAAGAAAGAGAAUUUGUUGUCAUGUCUAUUGUGAGAUUCCAGGUAAAAUGAAGCAGGAUUUAAUUGGUCCUCGUUAAACAGAGCUGGGUUUCUAAUAUGAAGAAAGCCCUCGUCCAGGCACUGUUUAAUUGGGGCUGUGUGCGCAUUGCUCAGCCGGCACUUAAAGGCAGAUGCCAGGCCCUGUUCUUUCAUCCCAUUUUCUAAUAAGGAUAAAUAAACAGGAUGAAUAAUGCAAUCGGUCUCUCCCUCGACCCCUGUGAGACCCCAGCAGCGCAGUGCUGUUCACCCCAGAGCUGUUCCCUGGGAUCCAUUAAUCCAGCGUGAGCAGGAUCCCUGCACAAGAGCACCCGGUGUGGCACCGAUGGCUCUGUUAGCAGAACCCCCAGGUCCAGCUAUGGAGCAGUUUGGGGAAUUCCUUGGUUAGUGGCUGUCAGAGGGGAGCCUGAAGAGGGGAUGGGGCUCAGGGGGCAGGAGGGGAAAGAAGGGAGAAAACAAUGGAAAAUAAAAUUAUGCCUUUACUUUUUAUUUUUCCUUUUUAAUUUUUUCCCCCAUAAAUCCCAGGAAGCCCUAAGAGACUGCACUCCCCCUCCCAUGCAGCCCACUCGGGUAAUUUCAUUUAUCCUGUAAAUCUAAUUAGCAAUCCAUGGCUGACAUUAAUAGGAAUCUAAUGAGGCCGGCGAUGACCAGAUUAUCAGGCGAGCUCUGACAGAGCCUUAAAGGCACAUCGAUCCCUGCCGUUGGUGGGAGCCAGAGGGGGAAAAGCUGCUUUAAAGGGGGAGAAGAGAAGAAAAAGAAGAAAAAAGAAAAGAUGGAAAGAAAGGAAAAAAAAAAAAAAAAAAAAGACGAGGGAGGGGGAGAAAAACAUGAGGAAAACCGGUGCGGGUAGGGCUUGGCUGCUUGGCUUAUUAAGGGAGCUGGAGCUUUGCUGGAAGCAGUUUAUCCACCAGCAUCGGGCCUCCGUCCCUGCUUCUCCUGAAAUACUAUUCUGCAGAGGAGAAAAAGGAGGGCGGAAAUAGGGAAAAAAAAAAAAGAAAGAAAAAAAAAAGAAGAAGAAGCCGGAGCCCAAGGAGUUGCUGUGCAAUUUAUUCCAAGGGGUGGCUGUUGAGAAGGCGGCAAUUUGCGGCGGCCGGGGGUUAUUUAGUGCGAUAUGAAAUCAAAUGAUCCUAUUGCUUAAAUAACAGUGUCUGGGAGGAGAAGCGAGCGCGCUCCAAAGGUAAUUGUCUCCAGAUGAUAUUCCCAUUAUCCCCCAAUCCCGGCCUAAACGCUGCCACGUCGGACUGGAAUCGAUACGGCGAGAGGACCGAGGGGGAUCCCGGCGCCGGGGGGAGGCAUCCCCGGCACUGGCCCCCCUAGGGAAAAGCGGCAGGGCUUCGGGGAGACCCUGAAUUCCCUGUGUCUGCUGCCUGUCCUUGCCUCCGCGGGAGCGGCAACACCGGCGGGGGAGCCGAUCCCGGAGCCCAGGUAAGGGAUCUGCGAGGGAAGAGGGAACCCGACCCCUUCCAUGCCCCGGCGGGCAUCCGCUCUCUGAGCGGACCCUGCUGCAUCGCUUCCCCCCAGCCCAGCUUGUCGGGUCCGGUGCGACCUCCCGCGGCCCCGGUCCAGCCCGGUCGCACUCGGUCACGGCCGCCUGCGGUCACCGAUGCCUGCGGUCGGUCCCGUUUGCCCGGAGCCGCUGGAAGCGCAGCCAGACCGGAGGCGGCUUCACACUGGAUCCCCGGGUAGCGGAUGGAGCGGCGACAUCCGCUCUCCGCGGCGCUGCCCGAUGGCAAAAUCGUCAGAAUUCAAUGGCAUGAGGGAAACGACGGAGGAAAAUCCAAGAGGGCGGAAGGCGAUGAGCGGGCGGCAGGGGCCAAGCUAGCGGCACCUACCUGGGCGGGGGUCCAGGCUCACUAUGUGGCCGCUGCGGCAAAGCGGACAGAAUGCUCCGGUUGCGGCACCCCAAGGCGAGCGGCGGCCCCGCAGCUGCUCCCUCAAUUCCAUCCGCCCGUGGGGUGGCUGGGGUUCCCGCCAGAGCUGCGGGUAAUGGAACGGGGCUUUUCCCCUUUUCCGCCUUUCUUUGUCAGCCUUUCGCCCGGGCGGGCAGCGCGUCCCCGGCGCCUCGGGCACGGAGAACAAACGCGCUCCUGCAAAAGAAUUAAUGCGAGUAUCGAGGGAGCGACUCCGGGCUGAAACGCUCAGGAGCGUCCCGGCUGUGGCAGCUCUGUGCUCCCGGGGGCCAUGGUUUGCCCUGGACUGGUAACAGCCGGAGGUGGCUGUGCUGAACUAGCGGGGACACUGCGGGAAGCGGCAGGAGGAAAAUCUCGGGGUCAGGCGCCUCUCUCGGGUCCUGAUGAGAAUAGGGCACAGGUCACCCCUCGGACCGCCGGGAGAGGCUGGUGUGGUUUGUGUCUGCAAACGGGCAAAGCAUUCGGGACCUGAAGCCUGGAAGUGAGCCCCAGCCUUUGCCCACCUGUGUGUCCACCCCAUGCCGUCUCACUGCAGCAACAGCAGCAGCAGCAAGCACUGAGAUCAACCAGGAUGGACUGGUCUGGCCAAGACGUGGCCCUGCUGGCAAAAGCUGCAGAGCGGACAGCAGAGGGAACAGCAUGGCGGUGAAGGUGCCAUCCUCCUGAAAGAGGAUCCUGGCAAAAGCAUGGCUUGAUGCAGGGGACAGCAUGCCAAAGGCAAGACAGCAGCAGACACUUGAAUGGAGACUCCUCGUGUUUACAGCCUGGUCACAGGAGCGACUGAGACCCAAUAUGUCCCUGACAUCCUCUCUGGAUGCCUGUCCUUGGAACAGCCUCAUUCAUGUCACACCUGCUCCAUUCUGCUCACAAAGCCUCCUGAGCUGCACAGGACACUGGAAAAGCACUUGGAGAUGGCUGGAGAAGGAAGGGGGCUUCUGGAAAAUGAUCUCUAAACCAGGCCCUUCCUUGUGCCGUGGCUUUUCUGGAGCUCAUUAGUAUCAGUGGUAUGUGCUUAUAUCUCAAUUCUCCAGGAUUAAUUCAAAAUGCACAGACAGUGCCAUGCCUAGGGGCUUUUCUAUUAUGUCACCAGGCUUUGGCUAAGGCCCUUACAUUUUUAAUAAACAUGA